RNAcentral lists this ribosomal RNA (253 nucleotides) under uncultured bacterium. RNAcentral describes it as "partial 16S ribosomal RNA". It matches the Rfam family "Bacterial small subunit ribosomal RNA", at positions 524 to 776 of the family's 1533-position model. The record is from RNAcentral.
GACGAACCGUACGAACGUUAUUCGGAAUCACUGGGCUUAAAGGGUGCGUAGGCGGCGCAGAAAGUUGGGUGUGAAAUCCCUCGGCUCAACCGAGGAACUGCGCCCAAAACUACUGUGCUCGAGGGAGACAGAGGUGAGCGGAACUUAGGGUGGAGCGGUGAAAUGCGUUGAUAUCCUAAGGAACACCGGUGGCGAAAGCGGCUCACUGGGUCUCUUCUGACGCUGAGGCACGAAAGCCAGGGGAGCGAACGGG